UGAGUGGCGGACGGGUGAGUAACGCGUGGGUAACCUGCCUUAUGCAGGGGGAUAACAGUAGGAAACCAUCAGUAAUACCGCAUAAGUGCACAGUAUUGCAUGAUACAGUGUGAAAAAGUCCGGUGGUAUAAGAUGGACCCAAGUGGGAUUAGCUAGUUGGUGAGGUAACGGCUCACCAAGGCGACGAUCAGUAGCCGAUCUGAGAGGAUGAACGGCCACAUUGGGACUGAGACACGGCCCAGACUCCUACGGGAGGCAGCAGUGGGGAAUAUUGCACAAUGGGCGAAAGCCUGAUGCAGCGACGCCGCGUGAGCGAUGAAGUAUUUCGGUAUGUAAAGCUCUAUCAGCAGGGAAGAUAAUGACGGUACCUGACUAAGAAGCACCGGCUAAAUACGUGCCAGCAGCCGCGGUAAUACGUAUGGUGCAAGCGUUAUCCGGAUUUACUGGGUGUAAAGGGAGCGCAGGCGGUCUUGCAAGUCUGAUGUGAAAGCCCGGGGCUCAACCGCGGGAUUGCAUUGGAAACUGUAGGACUUGAGUAUCGGAGAGGUAAGUGGAAUUCCUAGUGUAGCGGUGAAAUGCGUAGAUAUUAGGAGGAACACCAGUGGCGAAGGCGG
This 614-nucleotide ribosomal RNA is filed under the name Lachnospiraceae bacterium P64. RNAcentral describes it as "bacterial SSU rRNA". It matches the Rfam family "Bacterial small subunit ribosomal RNA", at positions 92 to 724 of the family's 1533-position model. Lineage: Bacteria; Bacillati; Bacillota; Clostridia; Lachnospirales; Lachnospiraceae. The record is from RNAcentral.